AGAGUUUGAUCAUGGCUCAGGACGAACGCUGGCGGCGUGCUUAACACAUGCAAGUCGAGCGAUGAAGCUCCUUCGGGAGUGGAUUAGCGGCGGACGGGUGAGUAACACGUGGGUAACCUGCCUCAUAGAGGGGAAUAGCCUUCCGAAAGGAAGAUUAAUACCGCAUAAGAUUGUAGUGCCGCAUGGCAUAGCAACUAAAGGAGUAAUCCGCUAUGAGAUGGACCCGCGUCGCAUUAGCUAGUUGGUGAGGUAACGGCUCACCAAGGCGACGAUGCGUAGCCGACCUGAGAGGGUGAUCGGCCACAUUGGGACUGAGACACGGCCCAGACUCCUACGGGAGGCAGCAGUGGGGAAUAUUGCACAAUGGGGGAAACCCUGAUGCAGCAACGCCGCGUGAGUGAUGACGGUCUUCGGAUUGUAAAGCUCUGUCUUCAGGGACGAUAAUGACGGUACCUGAGGAGGAAGCCACGGCUAACUACGUGCCAGCAGCCGCGGUAAUACGUAGGUGGCAAGCGUUGUCCGGAUUUACUGGGCGUAAAGGGAGCGUAGGUGGAUAUUUAAGUGGGAUGUGAAAUACUCGGGCUUAACCUGGGUGCUGCAUUCCAAACUGGAUAUCUAGAGUGCAGGAGAGGAAAGUAGAAUUCCUAGUGUAGCGGUGAAAUGCGUAGAGAUUAGGAAGAAUACCAGUGGCGAAGGCGACUUUCUGGACUGUAACUGACACUGAGGCUCGAAAGCGUGGGGAGCAAACAGGAUUAGAUACCCUGGUAGUCCACGCCGUAAACGAUGAAUGCUAGGUGUUGGAGGGUUUCCGCCCUUCAGUGCCGCAGCUAACGCAUUAAGCAUUCCGCCUGGGGAGUACGACCGCAAGGUUGAAACUCAAAGGAAUUGACGGGGGCCCGCACAAGCAGCGGAGCAUGUGGUUUAAUUCGAAGCAACGCGAAGAACCUUACCUAGACUUGACAUCUCCUGAAUUACCCUUAAUCGGGGAAGCCCUUCGGGGCAGGAAGACAGGUGGUGCAUGGUUGUCGUCAGCUCGUGUCGUGAGAUGUUGGGUUAAGUCCCGCAACGAGCGCAACCCUUAUAGUUGGUUGCCAGCACGUUAUGGUGGGCACUCUAGCGAGACUGCCGGGGUUAACUCGGAGGAAGGUGGGGAUGACGUCAAAUCAUCAUGCCCCUUAUGUCCAGGGCGACACACGUGCUACAAUGGCGAGAACAAAGAGAAGCAAGACCGUGAGGUGGAGCAAAACUGAUAAAACUCGUCCCAGUUCGGAUUGUAGGCUGAAACUCGCCUACAUGAAGCCGGAGUUGCUAGUAAUCGCGAAUCAGAAUGUCGCGGUGAAUACGUUCCCGGGCCUUGUACACACUGCCCGUC
RNAcentral lists this ribosomal RNA (1372 nucleotides) under uncultured bacterium. Its description in RNAcentral is "bacterial SSU rRNA". It matches the Rfam family "Bacterial small subunit ribosomal RNA". The record is from RNAcentral.